This 483-nucleotide ribosomal RNA is filed under the name uncultured bacterium. RNAcentral describes it as "bacterial SSU rRNA". It matches the Rfam family "Bacterial small subunit ribosomal RNA", at positions 30 to 507 of the family's 1533-position model. The record is from RNAcentral.
UUGAACGCUGGCGGCAUGCCUUACACAUGCAAGUCGAACGGCAGCACGGGAGCAAUCCUGGUGGCGAGUGGCGAACGGGUGAGUAAUAUAUCGGAACGUGCCCAGUCGUGGGGGAUAACGUAGCGAAAGCUACGCUAAUACCGCAUACGAUCUAUGGAUGAAAGCGGGGGAUCGCAAGACCUCGCGCGAUUGGAGCGGCCGAUAUCAGAUUAGGUAGUUGGUGAGGUAAAGGCUCACCAAGCCGACGAUCUGUAGCUGGUCUGAGAGGACGACCAGCCACACUGGGACUGAGACACGGCCCAGACUCCUACGGGAGGCAGCAGUGGGGAAUUUUGGACAAUGGGCGCAAGCCUGAUCCAGCAAUGCCGCGUGCAGGAUGAAGGCCUUCGGGUUGUAAACUGCUUUUGUACGGAACGAAACGGUGAGCUCUAAUACAGUUUGCUAAUGACGGUACCGUAAGAAUAAGCACCAGCUAACUACGUG